AGCAGCCGCGGUAAUUCCAGCUCCAAUAGCGUAUAUUAAAGUUGUUGCAGUUAAAAAGCUCGUAGUUGAAUUUCGGGAUCGAUACGUCGGUCGUGCCUUCGGUACGCACUGGCGUUUAUCGAUUUCUCCCUUCUGACGAACCAUGAUGUCAUUAAUUUGGUGUUAUGGGGAAUCAGGACUGUUACUUUGAAAAAUUAGAGUGUUUAAAGCAGGCAUUAGCUUGAAUACAUUAGCAUGGAAUAAUGAAAUAGGACGUUCGAACCUAUUUUGUUGGUUUCUAGGAUCAACGUAAUGAUUAAUAGGGAUAGUUGGGGGCAUUAGUAUUCAAUUGUCAGAGGUGAAAUUCUUGGAUUUAUUGAAGACUAACUACUGCGAAAGCAUUUGCCAAGGAUGUUUUCAUUAAUCAAGAACGAAAGUUAGGGGAUCGAAGACGAUCAGAUACCGUCGUAGUCUUAACCAUAAACUAUGCCGACUAGGGAUCGGAUGAUGUUAAUUUUUAAUGACUCAUUCGGCGCCUUAA
Molecule: ribosomal RNA, 520 nt
Filed under: uncultured Glomus
Lineage: Eukaryota; Fungi; Glomeromycota; Glomeromycetes; Glomerales; Glomeraceae
Description: SSU rRNA
Rfam family: Eukaryotic small subunit ribosomal RNA
Source: RNAcentral